This 688-nucleotide ribosomal RNA is filed under the name uncultured prokaryote. Its description in RNAcentral is "bacterial SSU rRNA". It matches the Rfam family "Bacterial small subunit ribosomal RNA", at positions 28 to 708 of the family's 1533-position model. The record is from RNAcentral.
GAUGAACGCUAGCGACAGGCCUAACACAUGCAAGUCGAGGGGCAGCACAAGGUAGCAAUACUGAGGUGGCGACCGGCGCACGGGUGAGUAACGCGUAUGCAACCUGCCUGUAACAGGGGAAUAGCCUCUUGAAAGAGAGAUUAAUGCCGCAUAAUACGAGAUUCGGGCAUCCGGAUUUAGUUAAACAUUUAUGGGUUACAGAUGGGCAUGCGUUUCAUUAGGUAGUUGGUGAGGUAACGGCUCACCAAGCCGACGAUGAAUAGGGGUUCUGAGAGGAAGGUCCCCCACACUGGUACUGAGACACGGACCAGACUCCUACGGGAGGCAGCAGUGAGGAAUAUUGGUCAAUGGACGCAAGUCUGAACCAGCCAAGUCGCGUGAAGGAUGAAGGUAUUAUGUAUUGUAAACUUCUUUUGUCAGGGAAUAAUGGGUGUCACGUGUGACGCAGAGGAAUGUACCUGACGAAUAAGCAUCGGCUAACUCCGUGCCAGCAGCCGCGGUAAUACGGAGGAUGCGAGCGUUAUCCGGAUUUAUUGGGUUUAAAGGGUGCGUAGGCGGUUUGUUAAGUCAGUGGUGAAAGUUUGCGGCUCAACCGUAAAAUUGCCAUUGAAACUGGCGAACUUGAGUACAGUAGAGGUAGGCGGAAUUCGUGGUGUAGCGGUGAAAUGCUUANAUGUCACGAAGAACU